AUGUAUAUAUGUAUGUGUAUAUGCGUACAUAUACGUAUGUAUAUAUACGUAUGUAUAUAUAUAUUAUUAUAUGAUAGAACGCCACGCAUCCUCUUCUAAGUGAGUCUUAUCUUAAUAAUUUUGGUGCGCACUCUAUACGAUCUUUUUACUCUUUCGUUUUCCUCUCUUUUUCUCUCUCUUAUUCUUUUUCCUCCUCUUCUCCUACUAUUCUAUUCUAUUACUCUGUCACUCUCUCUCCCUCACUCCUCCUCCUUUGCUCACGUGGCUCCUACGUGACCAUAGGCUGUCUUUAUUUCUUUCUCUCCGUUGUAGCUGGAACAAGGAAGAUGUGUUCUUGUUUGUCUCUUGUCCUAGCUUUAUUUACGCGUUCGCCACCAUAACCUCAUUUAAGCUUAGCAGUCCUUCCUGUUUGUUUUCACUGUCCUAUUUGUGUUACCUAUUUUGACCCUCCGCAAAAAUCCCAAAUUUUAUUUAAUUUGCUUUGCGGGAACAACUGUUUUAUCGAAAGCGUAUAUUGUUGUUAGAUGUUCGAAAUACGGGACUAGAAAAACAGUCAACAACUGAUGAAGGGUCGUUCUUUAUGUUGUUUGUUUUCCAUUUGUGUCUUUCGUUGUUCGAAAGAACAGUUCAUGUUCCAUGUACUCGUGCUUCGUACUUUUUUGUUGUACACGUUUCAUGACGUCCUGUGCCCACAUAUUAAUAUAUAUAUACGUAUAGAUUUAAGUAUGAACACAUAUGUAUGUAUGUUCCGGGCUCAGUCCCACGGCGUGGCAUCCUUGGCAAGUGUCUUCUACUAUACCCUUAAGCCGACUAAAAUCUUGAGUGAAUUUGAUGGAAACUGAAAGAAGCCUGUUCUGUGUGUGUGUGUGUGUGUGUGUUUGUCCCCCCACCCCACCCCAUCGCUUGACGACCAAUGUUGGUGUGUUGACGUAACGUAGCUGUUCAGCAAAAUAGACUGAUAGAAUAUGUACAAGGCUUACAAAGAAUAAGUCCUGGGAUCGAUUUCUUCGACUAAAAAUUUUUCCGCCAGUACUGGAUUUAAAUCAAGUGGGUGUUUCAUUAUAAGAUCUCCAAUUCACAAAUUUUAUUAAACUGAAAAUUUAGCCGAUUUUAUUUACCCAUCCCGUGUUUCACCUUUUUUUCAUAGCACAGCAUGCAAGGUAAAGAAAGUUAAUUUCGGCCUGUAUAUGUGUGUACACGAUCUUGUAGCAGUAUAAGUGGAUCUUGCAUGCAUGAAGUGGAUUCUAUCCACUAUAUAUAUAUAUAUAUAUAUAAACAGACAGAGAGAUAACUUUUGGAACUGCUGAUAAGAAAUAUAUUCUCCAUACAACUUGGUGUAGUCAACAUUCAUUGCCAUACUUAGAAGUCUUCGUGUGCUUUUACAUUUCUUAUCAAUACAGAACAAUCUCGUAUUGCACAUUUGCAUCUGGGUAUGUACCUAACAACCUAAAGGUUUAUACCUCAUAGUCAGUAAGUCUUUAAUGUUGUUUGCCGCCCACCUGUACUCUUAGCGAAGUAAUUUAGCUCUUACUAGCUCAGUCUACUUUCUUGUAAAUAGAUAUCUGUAGCUUCAUCUUAUCCCUUUUAAUACGGAGGUCACUGUAUACCUGAUGUGUUUCGCUAGCUUACUGAGGUCAUAAGUUAUCGGGAAUAUAUCUUGGCAGACUCCUGCUAAAUACAAUAUAUGAAUAUAAUUUUUUCAGUCUUCUAACGUCUCAAUGGAAUUUACCACCAAUACGUAAUAUAUGAUCGCGAAGACAUAUCUUUCAAAAUGUGACGUUUGUUCCAAGAGAGGCUACUCUUCCUACUAAUGCUGUCAUUAACCAGCCUACGUGCUUACAGCUCACGCAUAACUCAUUGCUGGAUUGUGCGUGUAAAAUCACCUUGUGAAAACAUACACUAAUACUUAUACAGUAAAACUGCUGCAUGGAAACAUUUGUUAUGUGGAAAACAUUUUUGUAUUUUUUACUGUCGUAUUUAUAGACAUAUAAUAAAAAAAUUUACCUUCGA
Long non-coding RNA from Octopus bimaculoides (California two-spot octopus), 2010 nucleotides. RefSeq lists it as uncharacterized. The record is from RefSeq and is a predicted model, not a curated record. NCBI's taxonomy places the organism in Eukaryota, Metazoa, Mollusca, Cephalopoda, Octopoda, Octopodidae.